This 428-nucleotide ribosomal RNA is filed under the name Verrucomicrobiota bacterium. RNAcentral describes it as "Verrucomicrobia bacterium partial 16S ribosomal RNA". It matches the Rfam family "Bacterial small subunit ribosomal RNA", at positions 355 to 776 of the family's 1533-position model. Lineage: Bacteria; Pseudomonadati; Verrucomicrobiota. The record is from RNAcentral.
UGGGGAAUCUUCCGCAAUGGACGAAAGUCUGACGGAGCAACGCCGCGUGAGUGAAGACGGCCUUCGGGUUGUAAAGCUCUGUGAUUCGGGACGAAAGGCCAUAUGUGAAUAAUAUAUGGAAAUGACGGUACCGAAAAAGCAAGCCACGGCUAACUACGUGCCAGCAGCCGCGGUAAUACGUAGGUGGCAAGCGUUGUCCGGAAUUAUUGGGCGUAAAGCGCGCGCAGGCGGUCUCUUAAGUCCAUCUUAGAAGUGCGGGGCUUAACCCCGUGAGGGGAUGGAAACUGGGAGACUGGAGUAUCGGAGAGGAAAGUGGAAUUCCUGGUGUAGCGGUGAAAUGCGUAGAUAUUAGGAAGAACACCGGUGGCGAAGGCGACUUUCUGGACGAAAACUGACGCUGAGGCGCGAAAGCGUGGGGAGCAAACAGG